UACGUAGGGGGCGAGCGUUGUCCGGAUUUAUUGGGCGUAAAGAGCGUGUAGGCGGUUCGGUAAGUCUGUCGUGAAAUCCUGAGGCUCAACCUCGGGCGUGCGAUGGAUACUGCCGGGCUAGAGGGUGGUAGAGGCGAGUGGAAUUCCCGGUGUAGCGGUGAAAUGCGCAGAUAUCGGGAGGGACACCAGUAGCGAAGGCGGCUCGCUGGGCCACACCUGACGCUGAGACGCGAAAGCUAGGGGAGCGAACAGG
This 253-nucleotide ribosomal RNA is filed under the name uncultured bacterium. RNAcentral's name for it is "partial 16S ribosomal RNA". It matches the Rfam family "Bacterial small subunit ribosomal RNA", at positions 524 to 776 of the family's 1533-position model. The record is from RNAcentral.